AUGGACGAUGCAGGUUCAGAGUCAACGGCUGUGCCCCUCGAUUUAUUACUACAAAUCACAGAUGGUUUUUCCGAGGAGCGGAAACUUGGUAGUGGUUCGUUUGGAGAGGUUUACUUGGGUGUGCAUCCAGACGGGCAAAAGAUUGCUGUGAAGAAGAUCUAUGAUAUGCCCGGGGUUGACGAGGAGCAAUUUCAUAAUGAGUUUAAGAACCUUGCAAGGCUGCAGCACCGAAAUAUUGUGCGGUUAGUUGGCUAUUGCCACCAUAUUCAGGAAGUACCAGCAAUGUACGAAGGAAAAUUGGUUCUUGCGGAAAAGAUACAUAGGGCGCUCUGCUUGGAGUAUAUGUCUAAUGGAAGCCUUGAAAAAUAUAUUUCUGAUGAAUGUGAUAAAUAUGAUUGGCACACAGGCUACGGAAUAAUUAAGGGGAUUUGCCAGGGUUUGAAAUACCUCCACACUAAAUUAGAGCCACCUAUUUAUCAUUUGGAUUUAAAGCCAGCCAACAUAUUGCUGGAUGAGAACAUGGUUCCCAGAAUUGCAGAUUUUGGGAUAUCUAGGCUGUUUGGAGAUGAACGAACGCGAGCUACAAAAAGUACUUUAGGAACACAAGGGUACUUACCGCCGGAAUACAUACGCAACUAUUUAAUCUCAAGUAAAUUUGACAUAUUCAGCCUGGGUGUCGUAAUCAUAAAGAUAAUGGCAGGACGGGCGGGCUACUACAAAAGCGCUGAAAUGUCUUCCCACGAAUUCACUAAUUUGGUACAGGAAAAUUGGACAAAUAGACCACAUGAAACAUCGAGUCUGAUGAAGGCAUAUUCCAAGCAAGUAAAGAUAUGUAUUGAAAUAGGUUUAAGUUGUGUGCAGGAGGAUCGACACAAAAGGCCAACUGUAAAGAAUAUUGUUGAUAGACUGAAUGAGACAGAAACUGAGUGUACCUAUGCGUAUAAGAAAUUUGACGCCCUUCCAAACAAGCUAGAAUGGCAUGGCAAUAUCCUACAGACAUGA
Molecule: ribosomal RNA, 1002 nt
Filed under: Triticum aestivum (bread wheat)
Lineage: Eukaryota; Viridiplantae; Streptophyta; Magnoliopsida; Poales; Poaceae
Description: partial small subunit ribosomal RNA
Source: RNAcentral